RNAcentral lists this long non-coding RNA (835 nucleotides) under Pan troglodytes (chimpanzee). Its description in RNAcentral is "lincRNA". The record is from RNAcentral. Lineage: Eukaryota; Metazoa; Chordata; Mammalia; Primates; Hominidae.
ACAAAGAAGCCAUUUUGCAUUUAGUUAAACACCAAAUGCCUUAAAUGAAGUCUUCAAGUUUAAUGUUAAAAGAUACCAAAUCAUAGAAUUUCAUUAGGAAGACUACAAGUUAAAUGUAUCUCUGGAGGGAUAGACAAGAAGCUGAAAAGAUUACCUCAACAGAGGAGAAUUAGUUCUACAGGCCUGGGUUGAGGACUAUUCUCAACAAGACAGUCGGAAUAGUUCAGGCUCUCUGUGCUCCUGGCUGAAUCUCUAAGGUGGCACAUUCUCUCUAGUUGUAAACAUUCUAGUGUAUAUUCUUCCCGACAUUUUUCUCUGCACACGAAGAUAUAAAUCUAAGAAAAACAGCAGCUUAGGGGUAACAAGAAAUAAAUGCUAAGUGGCCCCAGGAGGAAGUCAAUUUAACAUCUGCAUAUUUUAUUUAACAUAUAAUUAUUUUAAUUAGUGAACCUGGGAAGGACUCAGAGUGCCGAUGGUGUAUUUGAUAUACAUCAGCCUAUUUCCUUGUUUUCUAUUGAACUUCAACCACUCGAUGGAACUUCUUUACACCACUGUUUAAUUGCUUCAUUAUUCCAGUGAGCAGGCAAGGCUGAAGAGGAGGAAUUCUGGAAGCUGGAAUAAAGAAUUUAUAUUUGUACUGCUGUGUGCUUAGCCUCUGGUUCUGGAAGACCUUUCCACCACACCUCUUCUGAAAAAAAAAAAAAAAAAAAAAAAAAAAGAAAGAAAGAAAAGUGAAAAUAUCUUACUGUUGGCCUGGAGGAAACAUGGAUCUAAAAGAAAUCCUCGAGAACUAGGAAACGUAUGAUUUUUCUCGCGAAGAAUGUGUAUGACGUUG